UACGGAGGAGGCAAGCGUUAUCCGGAAUUAUUGGACGGAAAGCGUCCGUAGGUGGUUGGCCAAGUCUGCUGUCAAAGGGUGGGGCUUAACCUCAUAAAGGCAGUGGAAACUGGCGAGCUAGAGUGCGGUAGGGGUAGGGGGAAUUCCCAGUGUAGCGGUGAAAUGCGUAGAGAUUGGGAAGAACAUCGGUGGCGAAAGCGCCCUGCUGGGCCUGCACUGACACUGAGGCACGAAAGCUAGGGGAGCGAAAGGG
Molecule: ribosomal RNA, 253 nt
Filed under: uncultured bacterium
Lineage: Bacteria
Description: partial 16S ribosomal RNA
Rfam family: Bacterial small subunit ribosomal RNA
Source: RNAcentral